ACUGCUGCACUGCAUAUUAGCUUCAGCUUCUAGCACAUUUCUUAUUGCUUCAAGAUUUUGUCAUUUUAUUUUGAUACAUUCAAAAUUUGUAGUCAUGGAUUGAUUCUGGAUUAUCCUUUCAUUAAUUUUCAAUUCUUUUUGAUUAUUCUUUGAGUGAUUUUGGAAUUAUUUGAAUUCAAAUGAACUGAAUUCAACCUUCUUGACUGGGGUUCUUUAAUCCUCUCCUCCUGGUAAGCCUUUACCCUGAGCGUUCAUUUCGUGCUUGCAGCUGUCUGUGUGCUUGACCUUUUAUGGAGCUUUGUGAGCGUCACUACAUGCAAAUGAGCUGUGUCGGAAACACACUUUGCAGAUUACAGGUCAUCAACAUAUACACGCCAAACAAACAAGCCUAGAUGUGUUACAGUGACGUGUUGGAGUCGCCUCAGGGCUCCAGGUCUCUUCCAUCUUCAGCUCAGAGACAGAGGUGUGAGUCUGAAAAGUGUGUGAUGGGGUGUGAGGAGAGUUGUGUGUUCUAUUUCACAUAGCCGAACUGAAAGAACUAAAAGAACUCUCUCUCGCUCUCUCUCUCUCUCUCUCUCUCACCUCUGAAAAUUUCAUGAUGCUAAAUCCAUCCAUACUUUUAGUGUCGGUCAGGAUUAAAGCACAGACUGCAGCACAUGUGAAUUAUUCAGCUGUAUGUGUGUAUGUGUGUGUUUGUGUGUGUCUUUACUCCGAGAGUGAAAUUAGUGUGUGAGUGAAUGAGUGAGUGAGUGAGUGAACGAGUGAGCUUGUUUGGGAGUAGUAUGUGAGUAUGUGAUUAAAUGAGUGUAUUGGAUGAAUAAGUGGAAAUGCUGAUAUGAUUAUAUGAAUGAGUGAGUGUCAGUGAGUGAGUGAGCACAUGAGUGAAUAAAAGAGCCGGGGUUGGUCAGUCGGAGUGAAUGACUGAAUCUCUUAGCAAAUCUGUGACUGCGUGAAGAAGUGUAUGAAGGAACGAAUGAUUGUGUGAGUGAAUGGGUGAAUGAGUCUGUCUGUGGGUGUCUGUGAGUGUCUUUGUGAGUGAGAGAAUUAGCAUGGUUGUGAGUGUGGUUGUGAUUUAGAGGAAAUGAGUGCAUAAGUGAAUGAAUUAAGUUUUAGUUUAUGAAUGAGUGUAUGAGCAAGUGUAGCAUGUGAGUGUGUGAUUAAAUGCCAGGGAGUGAAUGAAUGUGUUAGACUGAAUGACAGAGUUGUGAAUUAGUAACUCUGAAUAAAUGAGUGUACAGUACAAAUGUGUGUGUGUGUGUGUGUGUGUGUGAGAAAGUGAUUAUGAAACUCCAUGUGUACAGAACAAACAUGACCAGCAUUAAUCCUUUAACUGUGUUACAUAAAGAAGGUGACCACACACACACACACACACACACACACUGAGGUUAAAUCGAAACGAUCCCUUAUUGUAUCUAGUGCACGUCGUGCUCUCAUUCUGUCAGCGCCCACACACUCAUACACUCGAAAUUAAAUCAGUGCUAAUGGCUUUGACAGCUAAACAAAUAUUUAACAUGCCACAAAUCUGAUCUUAACUCUCAGCUACGUUCAGAUGAGGUGAGCGUGCACGUGCACACACACACAUUCACACACACACACACACACACACACAGACCUCUUGAUGUGUGUAAUGUGAGGGGGUUGUUGACCCAGCCGCAGCCGUCAUUUACGGUUUCGAGUUCCACUAACUUUUCCCAGCUUGCACAAACCAUCGCCUGUCAUUCCCUAAGUUACAGGCCCAAACUCCUGCAGUAUGUGAGAACAGGUGCAGAAACACACACACACACACACACACACACACACACACUGAGUCUCCUCUUCCCGUCUUUAUCAAAGGAAUUCCUGUGGCGUCUGCACUCCCUCUGGCCUUGCAGAUAUCACUACCUCUUCUCAAUAACAGCAGAAAAAAAAGAGAAAUGGAUGAGUCUGUGUGUGUCAGUUUCCCAAAACAACCCUGUGUGUGUGUUUUACUGUGUCUUGACAUCAGUGCAGUAGUGUCCAUAGUCGUUAACUAAAAUUGGAACUAAAAUACAAAAAAAAAUUGAAGUAAGGAAGUAAAAAAGGUAUUUAAAAAAAUAAAAUAAAUUAUUAUUAUUAUUAUUAUUAUUAUUAUUAUUAUUAUUAUUAUUAUUAUUAAGUUUGCAUUUUCCACAUAACAAGGUCAAUAGAAAGUAUAUAUAUUUUCUUUCAUGAUAUUGAGACAUUGACGCAAGAAUAUUUUUUAAAAUACUUUUCUUUUCAGUUGCAAUAAUUUUUUGCAUUCUCUCGCAAUAGUUUCGACAUCUUUUUUUUCCUCUGUAAAACCCCUCUUGGAUCCAGCUCAUUCAUAAUCAAACAUACAUCUUCCUUUCUCACACAUAUUCUCAUUCCGUCUUCUCUACACUUACAUUACAUCCAUGUGUACCAGUGCAGCUUGACUGCAUAGUAAAAUUCGACCCUCAUCCUUUCAUUUAAAAAGUGCCCUAUGCUUCAGAAUAUGCUUUUUUAGGAGUAAAGUCAAAUUUAAUGAGUGCAUCCAUCGUAGUAUAGGAGACUGCUGGGUGUGUAGCAUGACGAUACAAUGCAUGGAGGGAUUAAAGCAGGGAUUGCAGGGGAACUGAGGGAAAUAUACUAAGGUCUUAUUCUUUUGCACUAAACAAAUCAUGUCUACUCAUUAAAUAUAUAGGAUUUAUUUAUUUAUCUAUUCGCUAAAGAUGUUAACAUUUUAAUACCCUUUGUGUAUUCACUUAUUUCAUGGAAAUAAGUUAAAAGUCACACAGACAAUUGUGAAAUAAUUGUAUUUCAGUUAGAUAGAUGAUCUGUUUGCAUGUUUCUAUUACAGAAACACUGAGUUGGUAACAUUAAUUUUAUUUUUAUUUAAUUUUUAUGUCACAAAUCCACUUUUUUCCUCACAUACAGACAUGUAUUUACUUUCUACUUGUAGACCAUUAAAUGUGUUUUGCCUUUGUGUAUUAUGUAUUCAUGCAUUCCGAUGUUAAAAUCAGAAAUAAUUCUGCAACUUUGCACAAACUAAACCAUUUCUUCACAAAUGAAAACGAACAGAAACUAACCAAGUAACUGUAAACACUGAAAAUAACACAAAAACAUCUCAGCUAUAAGAGUGCUAGAGAUAUGGAUUUAAAGAAUGAGCGCAGACAUUACACUGAUUUGUGACACUGUUCUUCAUGUUUCUAUAAUAAUGCACUUUUUUUUUCAGAGGAGCAGAACUGAAAGAUGAGAUUUCAAUGAUUUCAGCCAAAGCAGUAAGUAAUACACCCUGCGAUAUAAAAACCAUCUCGGAAUCGCAGGAGAUUUAUGGCGCAGGAUACACAUUUGUGACAUUUAUUGUAUAUCUGUAUCCAAAGCACUGCCAGGAUAUGCGAGGAGCAUCUGUGAUAAAUUGUGCGAAGCAUGAACAGAAAUGUUUAACACCAAAUACCGAAGGAAGGAAGAAAGGAAGGUCAUGAGGGCGAAGAAGUACAGAUUUGAAGAAAAUGUAGGAAGAAUGCUGCUUUAGUCAUAAGAUGUUGGAGUUAUAAGUAAAGGCUUCUAGUUCUUUGCUUUAUUCUCAUUGAGAAAUGAUGCAUGAAAGAAGUUGCCUUUGCUGUAUCCAGACUCUCUCGAUUUUGUGUGUGUGUGUGUGUGUGUUCAUCACCAUCUGCUCAUGUGAUCACUACAUGCCACCCCUCAGUGAAGUUGUCCAGAGUACAGGGACCUCCCUGCUCCUCUCAUACAGGACCUCCUCCUCCUCCUCCUCCUCCUCCUCCAUGUCGCUUAUCUUCUGCUUUUGUUCGUGUGAAUCUUAAUUUCACAGCUGGUACGAGACUCAUCAGAGCUCUUUUUGUUUUGUUGCCUUAAACAGCACCCCUCAAGAUGGCAGAGGCGGUUUUUUUUUGGGGGGGGCCUGAGGAGGUCAGAUGGUGCUCAUUUGUGUGUGUAUGUGUGUGUGUGUGCGCAUGUGUUCUUGUAUUCAUGUAAGGGCGUUUUUUUUUUUUUUUUUAAAUUCAAUCUGCUUAUUUGCAUGUAAUUGACUUCUUUCCUCGCUGGUUGUCAUAUGCAUGAAAUGUUCCCGGUGAUUCCUAAGAUCAUGACAUGUCACAGACAAGCGAGAUCCGCCCUCCGACUCUGUAAAGACCCGCCUCAGCAAAUCAAUUACACCACAAACGAAAAAAAAGCAGCAGUUUUAAUUUAAAAGAAUUUAACACAUUUUUUCCCACAAUGCUAAAUAUAAUUGAUGAGACAUGUUUAGUGUCUUCUUUUGUCUUGGAGCUAAUAUGUGUGUCGCUAAAAAGUAUUAGAAAUCUUAGCUAAAAUAUUUCAACUAUGUAAUCUCACUUUUAAAUAACAAAUUUAAAGCAGCAGGAUUUACAAAUUCAGGUUCAAACUGGAACUAUAUUAUUAUCCGCAUAGUAAGUUACAGAUUUUGAGAACAAUCAUGUCUGUAUCGUUUUUUUUUUUUAGGUUUAGGGUCUAGGGAGUGUAAUGAAGAUGGCCUGGUUCCUCUCAAGGUUUCAUCCUCAUCUCAUCUCAGGGAGCUUUUCCUCAUCACUGUCACCACCUUCAUUAUACAAAAUAUACAAAUUUACAACUGAAUUUCUGUAAAGCUGCUUUGUGACAACGUCUAUUAUUAAACAGUGCAAAAAAAUGACACUUUAGCAAGUGAAAAUAUCUUGAAUAUAGUCAAA
Molecule: long non-coding RNA, 4661 nt
Organism: Pangasianodon hypophthalmus (striped catfish)
Lineage: Eukaryota; Metazoa; Chordata; Actinopteri; Siluriformes; Pangasiidae
Exons: 3
Source: RefSeq, a predicted model, not a curated record